GAGGCUUUAGUUUAAUGAAAGCACCUGACUUGCAAUCAGGAGAUGUGGGGUAGCACCUGCAAGCCUUA
This 68-nucleotide transfer RNA is filed under the name Pseudanthias pascalus (amethyst anthias). RNAcentral describes it as "tRNA-Ala". It matches the Rfam family "tRNA". From Rfam's summary of the family: Transfer RNA (tRNA) molecules are approximately 80 nucleotides in length. Their secondary structure includes four short double-helical elements and three loops (D, anti-codon, and T loops). Further hydrogen bonds mediate the characteristic L-shaped molecular structure. tRNAs have two regions of fundamental functional importance: the anti-codon, which is responsible for specific mRNA codon recognition, and the 3' end, to which the tRNAs corresponding amino acid is attached (by aminoacyl-tRNA synthetases). tRNAs cope with the degeneracy of the genetic code in two manners: having more than one tRNA (with a specific anti-codon) for a particular amino acid; and 'wobble' base-pairing, i.e. permitting non-standard base-pairing at the 3rd anti-codon position. The record is from RNAcentral. Lineage: Eukaryota; Metazoa; Chordata; Actinopteri; Perciformes; Anthiadidae.